AUUGAACGCUGGCGGAAUGCUUUACACAUGCAAGUCGAACGGCAGCACGGACUUCGGUCUGGUGGCGAGUGGCGAACGGGUGAGUAAUGUAUCGGAACGUGCCCAGUCGUGGGGGAUAACGUAGUGAAAAUUACGCUAAUACCGCAUACGAUCUAUGGAUGAAAGCGGGGGAUCGCAUGACCUCGCGCGAUUGGAGCGGCCGAUAUCAGAUUAGGUAGUUGGUGGGGGAAAGGCCCACCAAGCCAACGAUCUGUAGCUGGUCUGAGAGGACGACCAGCCACACUGGAACUGAGACACGGUCCAGACUCCUACGGGAGGCAGCAGUGGGGAAUUUUGGACAAUGGGCGAAAGCCUGAUCCAGCCAUUCCGCGUGCAGGAUGAAGGCCCUCGGGUUGUAAACUGCUUUUGUACAGAACGAAAAGGUUUCUACUAAUACUAGGAGCUCAUGACGGUACUGUAAGAAUAAGCACCGGCUAACUACGUGCCAGCAGCCGCAGUAA
This 500-nucleotide ribosomal RNA is filed under the name uncultured bacterium. RNAcentral describes it as "partial 16S ribosomal RNA". It matches the Rfam family "Bacterial small subunit ribosomal RNA", at positions 30 to 523 of the family's 1533-position model. The record is from RNAcentral.